AUGAACGCUAGCGACAGGCCUAACACAUGCAAGUCGAGGGGCAGCACAAGGAGCAAUCUGAGGUGGCGACCGGCGCACGGGUGAGUAACACGUAUGCAACCUGCCUGUAAGAGGGGAAUAACCCGUUGAAAGACGGACUAAUACCGCAUAAUACUAAAUUACUGCAUGGUAAUUUAUUUAAACAUUUAUGGCUUACAGAUGGGCAUGCGCAUGAUUAGCUAGUUGGAGAGGUAACGGCUCCCCAAGGCAACGAUCAUUAGGGGUUCUGAGAGGAAGGUCCCCCACACUGGUACUGAGACACGGACCAGACUCCUACGGGAGGCAGCAGUGAGGAAUAUUGGUCAAUGGACGAGAGUCUGAACCAGCCAAGUCGCGUGCAGGAAGAAUGUCCUUAAUGGAUUGUAAACUGCUUUUGCAGGGGAAUAAAGUGCAUCACGUGUGAUGUUUUGUAUGUACUCUGCGAAUAAGGAUCGGCUAACUCCGUGCCAGCCGCAGC
RNAcentral lists this ribosomal RNA (496 nucleotides) under uncultured bacterium. Its description in RNAcentral is "bacterial SSU rRNA". It matches the Rfam family "Bacterial small subunit ribosomal RNA", at positions 29 to 518 of the family's 1533-position model. The record is from RNAcentral.